RNAcentral lists this ribosomal RNA (301 nucleotides) under uncultured bacterium. Its description in RNAcentral is "partial 16S ribosomal RNA". It matches the Rfam family "Bacterial small subunit ribosomal RNA", at positions 509 to 809 of the family's 1533-position model. The record is from RNAcentral.
CAGCAGCCGCGGUAAUACGUAGGUGGCAAGCGUUGUCCGGAAUUAUUGGGCGUAAAGGGCUCGCAGGCGGUUUCUUAAGUCUGAUGUGAAAGCCCCCGGCUCAACCGGGGAGGGUCAUUGGAAACUGGGAAACUUGAGUGCAGAAGAGGAGAGUGGAAUUCCACGUGUAGCGGUGAAAUGCGUAGAGAUGUGGAGGAACACCAGUGGCGAAGGCGACUCUCUGGUCUGUAACUGACGCUGAGGAGUGAAAGCGUGGGGAGCGAACAGGAUUAGAUACCCCAGUAGUCCCUGUCUCUUAUAU